RNAcentral lists this ribosomal RNA (495 nucleotides) under uncultured bacterium. RNAcentral describes it as "partial 16S ribosomal RNA". It matches the Rfam family "Bacterial small subunit ribosomal RNA", at positions 28 to 505 of the family's 1533-position model. The record is from RNAcentral.
GAUGAACGCUGGCGGCGUGCCUAAUACAUGCAAGUCGAGCGAACAGACGAGGAGCUUGCUCCUCUGACGUUAGCGGCGGACGGGUGAGUAACACGUGGAUAACCUACCUAUAAGACUGGGAUAACUUCGGGAAACCGGAGCUAAUACCGGAUAAUAUAUUGAACCGCAUGGUUCAAUAGUGAAAGACGGUUUUGCUGUCACUUAUAGAUGGAUCCGCGCCGCAUUAGCUAGUUGGUAAGGUAACGGCUUACCAAGGCAACGAUGCGUAGCCGACCUGAGAGGGGGAUCGGCCAACACGGAACUGGGACCCGGGCCAGACCCCUACGGGGGGCAGCAGUAGGGAAUCUUCCGCAAGGGGCGAAAGCCUGAAGGAGCAACGCCGCGGGAGGGAAGAAGGUCUUCGGAUCGUAAAACUUUUUUUUUAGGGAAAAAAAAAUGUGUAAGUAACUAUGCACCUUUUGGCGGUACCUAAUCAAAAAGCCCCGGCUAACCACG